RNAcentral lists this ribosomal RNA (531 nucleotides) under uncultured bacterium. Its description in RNAcentral is "bacterial SSU rRNA". It matches the Rfam family "Bacterial small subunit ribosomal RNA", at positions 10 to 535 of the family's 1533-position model. The record is from RNAcentral.
AGUUUGAUCUGGCUCANAUUGAACGCUGGNGGAAUGCUUUACACAUGCCAGUCGAACGGCAGCACGGAAAGCUUGCUGUCUGGUGGUGAGUGGCGAACGGGUGAUAUAUAUAUACGAACCUGUCCGAGAAUGGUGGAUAACGAGUCGAAGGAUUCGCUAAUACCACAAACGCCCUACGAGGGAAAGCGAGUGAUCGUAACAUCUCGCGUUAGUGGAGCGGCAGAUAUCUGAUUAGUUUGUUGGGGAGGUAAAGGCUCCCCAGGGAGAAUAUGAAUAUGUGGUUUGAGAAAACGACCACCCACUCUGGCACUGACACACGCCCCACACUCCUACGGGACGCUCAGUGGGGAAUUUUGGACAAUGGGCGCAACCCUGAUCCAGCCAUUCCGCGUGAGAGAAGAAGGUUUCGUGUUGUAAAGCUCUUUUCCAAAGGAAGAAAACUUAUGAUANAAUAAAUGGUGAGGUUGACGGCCCCUUGAUUAGACGCACCUUAUAUCUACGUGCCCGCCGCCGCGGAUAUACGUAGGGUGC